GACGAACGCUGGCGGCGUGCUUAACACAUGCAAGUCGAACGGUAAGGCCCUUUCGGGGGUACUCGAGUGGCGAACGGGUGAGUAACACGUGGGUGAUCUGCCCUGCACUUUGGGAUAAGCCUGGGAAACUGGGUCUAAUACCGGAUAGGACUACGCGAUGCAUGUCGUGUGGUGGAAAGCUUUUGCGGUGUGGGAUGGGCCCGCGGCCUAUCAGCUUGUUGGUGGGGUGAUGGCCUACCAAGGCGACGACGGGUAGCUGGCCUGAGAGGGUGUCCGGCCACACUGAGACUGAGAUACGGCCCAGACUCCUACGGGAGGCAGCAGUGGGGAAUAUUGCACAAUGGGCGCAAGCCUGAUGCAGCGACGCCGCGUGGGGGAUGACGGCCUUCGGGUUGUAAACCCCUUUCAGCACAGACGAAGCGUAAGUGACGGUAUGUGCAGAAGAAGCACCGGCCAACUACGUG
Molecule: ribosomal RNA, 464 nt
Filed under: uncultured bacterium
Lineage: Bacteria
Description: partial 16S ribosomal RNA
Rfam family: Bacterial small subunit ribosomal RNA
Source: RNAcentral